This is a long non-coding RNA of Drosophila innubila, 864 nucleotides long. RefSeq lists it as uncharacterized. The transcript is spliced from 2 exons. The record is from RefSeq and is a predicted model, not a curated record. Lineage: Eukaryota; Metazoa; Arthropoda; Insecta; Diptera; Drosophilidae.
GAUCUUAUCUAUACCUAAUACAUAUUUAAUUGGAAUAUCUUAGCAUAUUGAAUACCUUUUUAAAAUUCUUCUGCUUCUUUAGUUGCAUUGAUCUUACUGAAUGAAUUAAAACGAGUUAGAAAAUACUGGCAACAUGUGGUUUGGAUUAUAUCUAUUACUUCAGAGCGGUUUAACACGUGGAAAUUGGAAUUCGUAAUGGGAAAUUCGGUGUCGGAGCUGUAAUUGGAAUAUACAAUAUGGACAUGCAUUUAUGUAUAUGUUUCAAGACUGGUUUUAAAUUCUACGAAUUCAGUACAAACCGAAGAAAAAGAAACUGUAAAUUUACGCGUAGUCGGCGAAUUUCGAGUUGGAUAAAAAUGUGAGCUCGAGGUAAACAAAUUGUCAUGGAGUUUUUUGGAAAGCGAAGCUGAGUGAAACACGAAACUGUGAAAUAUUAAGAAGAGAAAAACAAUCAAGUCAGCGAAAAUCGGCAUAUAAAUGGCAUACGUGACAAUAGAGCAAGUGUUCAUGGCGGUCUCUCUCUCCCUCAAUCCCUCAAGCAUUGCCGGUUUUGCUUUGCACACUGCACAGAAAGAGAGAAAAGGCCGAUUGGGGUGAAAGUGCGCGUAAAUGUUAAUUGUUGAUUGGAAAAACUAACCAGACACAUAUUGAAUGGCAGAGAGCCAAUAACAGAUUUCUGUUCUAUGUUAUGAAAUUCAUAAAGUGUGCUGCGGUAUUGGAAUUGAUAAACACCAUUCGCAUUGAUAACAGAAAUGCGAAACAAGCGCAAAAUGAACAUAAUCAAAUGAAAUGAAAUGGAAUAAUCAGCUGAUAGACGACGCUCACGUAAACACGACACGUUGAAACGCACGACAUGGCCAAAAA